GGGGACGAGCGGAGGGAGGAUCGGCGGCGGCGGCGGAGGAGGAGGAGGAGGAGAGAGAGAGGGUACAACGGCGGCAGCUGGGCAUGUCGACGAGGAGGGGUACGAUCGGGGAGGUGGAACGUAAGAAGGUCAGCAGGCAGGUGCGCCGGUAGUUGUCGUGCCGUGCCAUCCCCGCCAGUCCCGCGGACGAUGUUCGACGAACUGGAAGAUCGCGACGAAGGAGCCCAGACGGCCGCAACGACGGACGCGGAAGAGGUCGUGGUGAAGCGAUGUUCGACGAACUGGAAGAUCGCGACGAAGGAGUCUACACGGCGGCGACGACGGACGCGGAAGAGGUCGCGGCGAAACCAGUGGACGCCGUUGAGGCUGGUUACCAGAAGUAUCAGGAGCACGGGAGGACAGCUACCCCUCCUCUCCUCCCCGCUCCGACCUCGAGGUACGCCGUCGUGUGUGUGGCAACCCACCUCCUCUCCGGUCGAUGCCCCGUUCCUCGCCACCCGCGUUUCGAGAUCCACCGCGAGGAUAGUGCUACGCCACUCGACGUUCCCUCCCCAUCCUACAGCCACUGUGGUCUUCCUCGUCCGUCCACUCCUCCCGUUCGUUGUGUCCUUCCGUACAUAAAGAAGUGUGAUAAAAGUGAUAAAACGUUGAACAUAACGUAAAAGUACCUAUUAGGAAAACGUGAAGCCAAAAUAGAUUAGGCAAGGUUCGAAUAUUUAUUACUACAAACCAGAAGACGAUAAAACCGUCUACUAACUAAUUCCUCCUAUUCUAACAUUUCGAACAUCAUGAGAUAUAGUUGUUCGCCCAGAUCGUAGAUGUAAGAGACUGUGAAACAUAUAAAAGUACCUAUCCCAAACCCACCGGACUACUCUCGUCGGGUCACCAAUGUGGAGACGUUGGAGCGGUUGCAACUGUUAGUGACUACGGUACGCCUUCUACGACGGGAAUAAAGAGUGUAGGACUUUCAGUGUAAUGUAGAUACUUGGUCUUCUUGAUCUCUCGACGCAGCUGUAUACUUCUGCGCUCUCGAUUUCGUUUAUCUGACGCUCCAAUAGUCCUAUGGCCUCUUUACCCAAUACGAAAUCAGGAACAUUUACCGUGACCAAAAAGACCACACUCAUUUCGGACUGUCACCAUUACACUUCGACCCUGAAGGGAUAGUCCGCACUGUAACAUCGGUUUAGGUACUCCUCAGCCUCCGUCAAUGUCGUUGAUUGGUACUUCGCUGCCGCCUCUAGGUCAAGUAGAGUGUCAAAUCCAGACUGGUCGUGUUCCACCGUUGUCGUCAUCACCUCUUCCGUACUUCUCCGGGUGUAGACUUUUAGGCAAGACGACUGGCUAUUUCCCUCUACCAGAGUCGUAGGUAACACUGUUACAACAGGUCUUGUACCUGAGACCUUUGACUUUUCAUUGUCUAAAACGAAGGUCCGCGUGUUUCCGGUGGCUAGCCUAGUCGCGCUUCUUUGGACAAGCCUAGUGGAGUCGUUGCCUAGUUGGAGACGUGGAUGUAGGUAAAGCUGUCUAGUAAUCAGUUUCGUCCAACCAGAAAACCCCAAGGAAAAACAGCGACUACCGAACUGCGUGUGACCUAGUAGGAUAGUCUUCCCAAACCGAAUGGAGACAAACUCUCCUCUUUAGACCUCCCUAUCUACAAGUCCCAGCACUACACUAGGUGGGACAGGUCUCCCAUUAAAGACGCACACUAAACCCAGCCGUGGCAACAACAGUGGCCCGUCUUACAGGCUGACCGGUACCCGUCCGAGCCUCGGGAGACGCUCGUCCACUUCCUCGAAUUAAAGACUCCACUAAGACCAGUGGAGGCUGCGGCAGCCGCAGCCCUCCGUCUCCGAGUUCAUGGCUUUCGAGUAGUUGUUGUCAAAGCGGCUAGACGUCUUGGGUGUCAAACUGGACCUACCCUUCCGGGCGCGACGGUAGCCGGUCUCACCGGAGUACCGAUAGAUGCUAUGUAACAAAUUGGUCAUAAAAGUCCAGAUGAUGUAACUUUCGUUUGAUUUUCUAAUGUAACUGGGUCUAAUACUAUGUGAGUUCCAGUCCGAACGUUUGUCACUAGAUGUGCGGUUAACAGUGUAGUACGAUCCUUGGCUGUUCUCUCGGUGGCAUUGUUGGUUGACCGAACUCAAGGCGGCGGAACGUUUUUAGGUACUUCCUCUGUAGACACGGAAAGCAAAGUUCCAGUGGUAUUUCGUCACGGACCAACAGUAGCACGUAACGGAAAUCUACUUGGUAGCUGUAGUUGCCUUUAGCAUAGAUUUAUAGUAGAUCGUAAGAUUCCUGAUGAUUAGUUCGAGACAUUAUCUACUUUGGAAGGAGAUAAAAAGUGCUACGAUAGACAACGAAAACUUGUCGAUGGUGGAUAUACGAAAAUGGAUAUAUUGGAGUCAACAACAAGGAGUAGCUAGAUAAUUAUACGUAUUACGGUG
RNAcentral lists this ribosomal RNA (2444 nucleotides) under Triticum aestivum (bread wheat). RNAcentral describes it as "partial small subunit ribosomal RNA". The record is from RNAcentral. Lineage: Eukaryota; Viridiplantae; Streptophyta; Magnoliopsida; Poales; Poaceae.